Felis catus (domestic cat) is the source of this 690-nucleotide long non-coding RNA. RefSeq lists it as uncharacterized. The transcript has 3 exons. Lineage: Eukaryota; Metazoa; Chordata; Mammalia; Carnivora; Felidae. The record is from RefSeq and is a predicted model, not a curated record.
UACACAGGGUUCCUUUUAGUCUCUAAUCAUCCUGUCAGUGAUUACACAUCUGUGGUCUUGGGGGCCACACAUAUCCAACAGGAGGGAGAGAACAACAUGAGCAGAGAAUACCACUCACUGCCUUGGGCCCAGAGCCUCUUUACUGUUUCUACUCAUGAAUGCUACUGCUUCAGAUUCUUGAAGCUGUUGGGAUUCUGAACCUGCUGUGACCUUCAAGAUUCUAUUGAUAUCUCCAGUCUUUCCUCAAACUGUGGACUUAACCCCUUCUUGCUCUCUGCUGACUUCAGACUUCUGUUUUAUGAGUCCCAGUUUGCAGGACAUCUUGGAUUCCUGGCUGGCCGCCUCUCCUGACUUCAGAUUCAUAUUUGUUCAACUCUGUUCAAAACAGUGACUCAAGCUCCAGUCAUCAUGCCAUAUUCCAGCCAGAAGGAAGGUAGCAGAAUGGAGGGAAGAAAGGCUUUAGGGGAAGAAAACAGAGAUUGGCAGCUCUGGAUAUUGCUGACUAUGUCUUGGGUGCUGGAGAGAAACAAACUGAGAGCAGCCCUGAGUUCAUAGUUGAUGCUGUCCCACCACUCGGCUACAUCCAGUUGCGAAGAUUUUAUAAGAAGAAACUAAAUCUUCCCAAGAACUCAAGUCUGAGGGGGAAAAAAAAACCAAACUCACAUACAUGAGAAUGGUAAACAUUUUCAA